GAGGGUAUAGCUCUGUGGUAGAGUGUGUGCCUCGUAUGUUCAAGGUACUGGGUUCAAUCCCCAGUACCUGCA
Camelus ferus (Wild Bactrian camel) is the source of this 72-nucleotide transfer RNA. It matches the Rfam family "tRNA". Rfam says of the family: Transfer RNA (tRNA) molecules are approximately 80 nucleotides in length. Their secondary structure includes four short double-helical elements and three loops (D, anti-codon, and T loops). NCBI's taxonomy places the organism in Eukaryota, Metazoa, Chordata, Mammalia, Artiodactyla, Camelidae. The record is from Rfam.